Molecule: ribosomal RNA, 440 nt
Filed under: uncultured bacterium
Lineage: Bacteria
Description: partial 16S ribosomal RNA
Rfam family: Bacterial small subunit ribosomal RNA
Source: RNAcentral
CCUACGGGGGGCAGCAGUGGGGAAUAUUGCACAAUGGGGGAAACCCUGAUGCAGCGACGCCGCGUGAGUGAAGAAGUAUUUCGGUACGUAAAGCUCUAUCAGCAGGGAAGCAAAUGACGGUACCUGACUAAGAAGCCCCGGCUAACUAAGUGCCAGCAGCCGCGGUAAUACGUAGGGGGCAAGCGUUAUCCGGAUUUACUGGGUGUAAAGGGAGCGUAGACGGCAGCGCAAGUCUGGAGUGAAGUCCCAUGGCUUAACCAUGGAACUGCUUUGGAAACUGUGCAGCUAGAGUGCAGGAGAGGUAAGCGGAAUUCCUAGUGUAGCGGUGAAAUGCGUAGAUAUUAGGAGGAACACCAGUGGCGAAGGCGGCUUACUGGACUGUAACUGACGUUGAGGCUCGAAAGCGUGGGGAGCAAACAGGAUUAGAUACCCUUGUAGUC